This 1482-nucleotide ribosomal RNA is filed under the name Triticum aestivum (bread wheat). RNAcentral describes it as "partial small subunit ribosomal RNA". Lineage: Eukaryota; Viridiplantae; Streptophyta; Magnoliopsida; Poales; Poaceae. The record is from RNAcentral.
AUGCUCAGGUUCAAAGGUCUAACAAGUGGUAUCAGAGCCUCGUUAUCUUGUACCCUGAGCAUUUCCUGUGAGCAGCCCAAGUCGGUAGCAGCAGCUGCUCCGUCUGCCUCUGGUUACUUUCCUCCCUCCGGACUGUCGAGCAACAGUUCAUCUUCAACAGCCUCCUCUUCACGCAACAGCCCCCCUGCAGCGAGCCAUGUCUGCAGGCUGGCUGCAGCGGAGCUGGCAGCAGCCAAAGCGGAGGUAGAAGCAGCCAGGGCGGAGUUAGAAGCAGCAGCAGCAGCGGACGCAGCACGUGAGGCUACGGCGGAUGCCAAAGCACUCCGCGGCGGCUCCGGCAGCUCCAACAGCUCCGCACCUGCGGACGACGGCGCUGACGCAGACCGCGCCAAAGUGGCGCAAGAGCGGACGGCGCAGUGGGCAGCCGAGCACGCCCGCGCUCCAGGUGGAGGUGCGCACCGCGACGACGGCUGCAACGACCAGGACCGCGGCCUCUACGAGGUCCGGACUGUGGUCAGGGAUGUUGGUCCCAGUGCUGGGUGGCCUACCCUUACUAAAACCAACUACGUCGAGUGGGCCGGGAUCAUGAAGGUCAAGCUCCAGGUGCGGCGCAUGUGGGAGGCAGUCCAGGACAGCAACGUCGACCACCAAGAGGACCGACGGGCGCUGGACGCCCUCAUCGCCGCAGUCCCGCCCAAGAUGCAGUUCUCGCUUUCCAGCAAGCGGACUGCCAAGGAAGCUUGGGACGCCAUCUCCGCGGCACGCAUCGGCAGCGAUCGUGCUCGCAAGUCCACUCUGCAGGCACUUCGUAAGGAGUGGGAGAGCUUGGCUUUCAAGCCAGGUGAGGACGUUGAUGACUUUGCUCUCCGUCUCAACACUCUGCUGCAGAAGUUGGUGAAGUUUGGUGAUGCCACCUACACCGAGGAGAGAGCUGUUGAGAAGCUCUUUCGGUGCAUCCCCGAGAAGUACAAGCAGAUGGCUUGGUCGAUCGAGUCCUUGCUGGACCUCUCCACGAUGAAAAUCGAGGAGGCGAUAGGUCGCCUCAAGGUCGUCGACACCGACGAGCCACAACCUUCCUCGGGGCCCAUCACCACCGGCGGGAAGCUGCUCCUAACUCGGGAGCCGUGGGAUGCCAGCCUUGGUGACAGGAAGAAGGGGGAGCCUUCUUCCACGACGGGCGGCCGCAAGCAUGGCAAGCAGCGUAAGACGCGAAGAGGCCCCCCGGGCAGGGCACAAGGACGUGCCGAAGGGGACGCUUGCGGAGGCGCCAAGGACGGCGCCGCUGGCAAGCCCAAGCCGGCACAAGACAACAUCUGCCACAACUGUGGCCGGUUUGGCCAUUGGGCCAAUGAGUGUCGGCAACCACGACAAGGCCAGGCUCACGUCGCACAGGCGAAGGAGGAGACGGCUCUGUUCAUGCACAUGGUCCUUGUGGCAGUUAGGAUAGAGUUCCUGACCAUCAAGGACUGGCAGUUAGGAUAG